RNAcentral lists this long non-coding RNA (296 nucleotides) under Triticum aestivum (bread wheat). RNAcentral's name for it is "long non-coding RNA (TAES_LNC008381)". Lineage: Eukaryota; Viridiplantae; Streptophyta; Magnoliopsida; Poales; Poaceae. The record is from RNAcentral.
AGCCGGAGAAACAAUACAUUGACUGGAAUAAAACAACACAAGCAUUAUUUCUUGACAUGACCAAUAUUCUCUACCUCACCUUCACUUUUUUCAAAUUCAUAAUUUAAUUACCUGGUCAAUGAAAAAAGCCACAUCUUGGUAAGCCAUUGGAGCUUGGCAAAUAAAAGAGGCACUCAUCAUAACAGUACACACUGAUUCAAACACAAAAUCAGCAUAUCUAUUGUAGCUAUUUUAUCAUUCCAAGUAACAAAGUAGCGCCUUGAUAAAUGCAUGAAAACUAAAAAAAAGGGACUGGU